Long non-coding RNA from Camelus dromedarius (Arabian camel), 206 nucleotides. RefSeq lists it as uncharacterized. The transcript is spliced from 3 exons. Lineage: Eukaryota; Metazoa; Chordata; Mammalia; Artiodactyla; Camelidae. The record is from RefSeq and is a predicted model, not a curated record.
CUGGAAUGAUGUUAACCAUCCCGCAGUGCAUUCCAUGGUGCAUCCUCGCCUAGAAUUGAGUGGAAGCAAGUCCAUCUCAGAAGGGACAUACCUGAAGAGAAAUGGCUUUCCAGACUCUGAAGGGCAGAGAAAGCACCAGCCUGGGUUAGAGAAAGAGAACAGCAUCUCUGAGCCCGUCCUGGGUGACCUCACAGAGAUCACCGUAG